UACGUAGGGUGCGAGCGUUAAUCGGAAUUACUGGGCGUAAAGUGUGCGCAGGCGGCCGCGCAAGUCGAGUGUGAAAUCCCCGAGCUUAACUUGGGAAUUGCGCUCGAAACUACGUGGCUGGAGUGUGGCAGAGGAAGGUGGAAUUCCACGUGUAGCGGUGAAAUGCGUAGAGAUGUGGAGGAAUACCGGUGGCGAAGGCGGCAUCCUGGACCGGCAUUGACGCUGAUGAGCGAAAGCCAGGGGAGCAAACGGG
This 253-nucleotide ribosomal RNA is filed under the name uncultured bacterium. RNAcentral describes it as "partial 16S ribosomal RNA". It matches the Rfam family "Bacterial small subunit ribosomal RNA", at positions 524 to 776 of the family's 1533-position model. The record is from RNAcentral.